RNAcentral lists this ribosomal RNA (406 nucleotides) under uncultured bacterium. RNAcentral's name for it is "partial 16S ribosomal RNA". It matches the Rfam family "Bacterial small subunit ribosomal RNA", at positions 30 to 526 of the family's 1533-position model. The record is from RNAcentral.
AUUGAACGCUGGCGGCAGGCCUAACACAUGCAAGUCGAACGAGUGGCGGACGGGUGAGUAAUGUCUGGGACACCGCCCGAUGGAGGGGGAUAACCACUGGAAACGGUCGCUAAUACCGCAUAACAUCGUAUGUGCCGAUAUGGGAUUAGCUAGUAGGUGGGGUAAAGGCUCACCUAGGCGACGAUCCCUAGCUGGUCUGAGAGGAUGACCAGCCACACUGGAACUGAGACACGGUCCAGACUCCUACGGGAGGCAGCAGUGGGGAAUAUUGCACAAUGGGCGCAAGCCUGAUGCAGCCAUGCCGCGUGUGUGAAGAAGGCCUUCGGGUUGUAAAGCACUUUCAGCGGGGAGGCGUUACCCGCAGAAGAAGCACCGGCUAACUCCGUGCCAGCAGCCGCGGUAAUUC